UCUCCGUUGGUGAACCAGCGGAGGGAUCAUUACUGGAAUCGCAAGAUCCCACAACCCUGUGAACCUACCGAAACGUUGCCUCGGCGGGUGCCCGGCCUCUGCGCCGGGCGCUGCGCCCGCCGGCGGCCCCCUACUCUGUCUCUGCAGCGUGGCAUCUCAGAGCCCCAGAAAACAAGUCAAAACUUUCAACAACGGAUCUCUUGGCUCUA
This 209-nucleotide unclassified non-coding RNA is filed under the name plant metagenome. RNAcentral's name for it is "partial contains small subunit ribosomal RNA, internal transcribed spacer 1, and 5.8S ribosomal RNA". The record is from RNAcentral.